AUUGAACGCUGGCGGCAUGCCUUACACAUGCAAGUCGAACGGCAGCAUGGAGAGCUUGCUCUCUGAUGGCGAGUGGCGAACGGGUGAGUAAUGCAUCGGAACGUACCGUGUAAUGGGGGAUAACGUAGCGAAAGUUACGCUAAUACCGCAUACGACCUGAGGGUGAAAGCAGGGGAUCGCAAGACCUUGCGUUAUACGAGCGGCCGAUGUCAGCUUAGCUUGUUGGUGAGGUAAAGGCUCACCAAGGCGACGAUCUGUAGCGGGUCUGAGAGGAUGAUCCGCCACGCGGGGUCUGAGACAGGGCACAGGCUGCUGCGGGGGGCAGCAGGGGGGAAUGUUGGACAAGGGGGGCAACCCUGAUUCAGCCAUGCCGCGUGAGUGAAGACGGCCUUAGGGUUGUAAAGCUCUUUCGGCCGAGAAGAAAUCGCACAGGCUAAUACUCUGUGUGGAUGACGGUACCGGCAUAAGAAGCACCGGCUAACUACAUGCCAGCCGCCGCCGUAA
This 504-nucleotide ribosomal RNA is filed under the name uncultured bacterium. RNAcentral describes it as "partial 16S ribosomal RNA". It matches the Rfam family "Bacterial small subunit ribosomal RNA", at positions 29 to 523 of the family's 1533-position model. The record is from RNAcentral.